AGAGACCUGAAGCUUUUACCAUGUUUGAUUCAUUCUUGAAUGAUAAGCCACUCCCUAAAAGUCUUUAGAAAGAGAAGAAACAAGAAUAGAUGGAAAUGAUUGAUUUGUGAGGUGGGAUUUUAUGUUGCCUUGUAAUAAAUCUCAUUUAACAAUAGAUUU
This 159-nucleotide non-coding RNA is filed under the name Aristerostoma sp. ATCC 50986. Lineage: Eukaryota; Ciliophora; Colpodea; Cyrtolophosidida; Cyrtolophosididae. The record is from RNAcentral.